Molecule: ribosomal RNA, 198 nt
Filed under: uncultured bacterium
Lineage: Bacteria
Description: partial 16S ribosomal RNA
Rfam family: Bacterial small subunit ribosomal RNA
Source: RNAcentral
GGCUGAAAUUCGCCUUCAUCGAAGCUGGAAUUGCUAGUAAUGGCAGGUCAGCAUACUGCCGUGAAUACGUUCCCGGGCCUUGUACACACCGCCCGUCACACCAUGAGAGUUGGGAAUACCCGAAGCCUGUGAGCUAACUUAUAGAGGCAGCAGUCGAAGGUAGAGCCAAUGAUUGGGGUGAAGUCGUAACAAGGUAUC